Molecule: unclassified non-coding RNA, 337 nt
Filed under: soil metagenome
Description: partial contains 5.8S ribosomal RNA, internal transcribed spacer 2, and large subunit ribosomal RNA
Rfam family: 5.8S ribosomal RNA (bases 1-120)
Source: RNAcentral
GAUGAAGAACGUAGUGAAAUGCGAUAAGUAAUGUGAAUUGCAGAAUCUCGUGAAUCAUCGAAUCUUUGAACGCACAUUGCGCCCCUUGGUAUUCCAUGGGGCAUGCCUGUUCGAGCGUCAUUUGUACCUUCAAGCUCUGCUUGGUGUUGGGUGUUUGUCUCGCCUCUGCGUGUAGACUCGCCUCAAAACAAUUGGCAGCCGGCGUAUUGAUUUCGGAGCGCAGUACAUCUCGCGCUUUGCACUCAUAACGACGACGUCCAAAAGUACAUUUUUACACUCUUGACCUCGGAUCAGGUAGGGAUACCCGCUGAACUUAAGCAUAUCAAUAAGCGGAGGA